Molecule: small nuclear RNA, 90 nt
Filed under: Jaculus jaculus (lesser Egyptian jerboa)
Lineage: Eukaryota; Metazoa; Chordata; Mammalia; Rodentia; Dipodidae
Source: RNAcentral
GUGCUCGCUUCAGCAGCACACAAACUAAAAUUGGUACAAUUCAGAGAAAAUUAGCCUGACAAGCAAAUUUGUGAAGCAUUCCUUUUUCUU